AGCUUUGUGCAGUGGCAAUAUCAUAGCCAAUGAGGUUUAUCCGAGGCGUGAUUAUUGCUAAAUAGUACAAAUUGAGCAGCUCCACACUGAAGACAAAGUUCCUAAUUUGGAUGGAAAGGUUGGUUGAAAUGCCAUAAGACCCUCUCUAUCUUAAGAGCUUUUGUUUCCAAAUAUUUUG
RNAcentral lists this small nuclear RNA (178 nucleotides) under Microcebus murinus (gray mouse lemur). RNAcentral describes it as "U4 spliceosomal RNA (ENSMICG00000044221.1)". The stretch from base 1 to 63 matches the Rfam family "U4 spliceosomal RNA". Lineage: Eukaryota; Metazoa; Chordata; Mammalia; Primates; Cheirogaleidae. The record is from RNAcentral.